Molecule: ribosomal RNA, 494 nt
Filed under: uncultured bacterium
Lineage: Bacteria
Description: partial 16S ribosomal RNA
Rfam family: Bacterial small subunit ribosomal RNA
Source: RNAcentral
GACGAACGCUGGCGGCGUGCCUAAUACAUGCAAGUAGAACGCUGAAGGAGGAGCUUGCUCUUCUGGAUGAGUUGCGAACGGGUGAGUAACGCGUAGGUAACCUGCCUGGUAGCGGGGGAUAACUAUUGGAAACGAUAGCUAAUACCGCAUAAGAGUAGAUGUUGCAUGACAUUUACUUAAAAGGUGCAAUUGCAUCACUACCAGAUGGACCUGCGUUGUAUUAGCUAGUUGGUGGGGUAACGGCUUACCAAGGCGACGAUACAUAGCCGACCUGAGAGGGUGAUCGGCCACACUGGGACUGAGACACGGCCCAGACUCCUACGGGAGGCAGCAGUAGGGAAUCUUCGGCAAUGGACGGAAGUCUGACCGAGCAACGCCGCGUGAGUGAAGAAGGUUUUCGGAUCGUAAAGCUCUGUUGUAAGAGAAGAGCGAGUGUGAGAGUGGAAAGUUCACACUGUGACGGUAUCUUACCAGAAAGGGACGGCUAACUACGU